AACUAAAUAAAAGUAGGUUAUAUACACAUACUAGGAUGUCCAUAAUGAUGUCCACCCCCUUACAUCGAAGUACUCACUUUAAAUAAUAUAUAAUUUAUUUGAAGAGAAUCUCUCUCUCUGAGGAUAUCAUUAUUAAUACUGCAUUAUGUACAAACAGCGUAUUCCAUUAAAGUAGGUUUGUAAAUAAAAUAUCAGCCCCAGGCCGGAAAAAGGCAAGCUCGGAGGUAGAAGUAGCUUAGCAAUUCAUACAUAGAUGCAUUUCCAGCAAUGACACAGCAGUAUGUCUGAAAAAGGGUAGGGAUUCAUGCUACUACACAAAUGAAAUUACAUAAAAUAAACAGCUAAAUUUAAACCUGUCGGAUAUAGAUAAUUAUAGAGAUAUAUAGUAGUAUAUAUUCAUAUAUAUGAGAACUGAGUAACAAUCUCCACUAAUAUUUAGGAACCCACACGAUGUGAUCCUCAGGGAGGAAAUGGCAGACCGGAACUGUCCCUGGUUUCACCUUCAGCACCUGAAAAGCCAAGUGUUUUGGGUUCCACGCCGCCGUAUCCUUGUGACAAACGGCCACCGCUUUCACCUUGGUGCCGUCGUCCCCCACCAUCGCCACCUUGUA
RNAcentral lists this long non-coding RNA (611 nucleotides) under Olea europaea (common olive). RNAcentral's name for it is "long non-coding RNA (OEUR_LNC011238)". The record is from RNAcentral. Lineage: Eukaryota; Viridiplantae; Streptophyta; Magnoliopsida; Lamiales; Oleaceae.